RNAcentral lists this ribosomal RNA (253 nucleotides) under uncultured bacterium. RNAcentral describes it as "partial 16S ribosomal RNA". It matches the Rfam family "Bacterial small subunit ribosomal RNA", at positions 524 to 776 of the family's 1533-position model. The record is from RNAcentral.
UACGGAGGAUCCAAGCGUUAUCCGGAAUCAUUGGGUUUAAAGGGUCCGUAGGCGGCCCGGUAAGUCAGUGGUGAAAUCUCCCCGCUCAACGGGGAAACGGCCAUUGAUACUGCCGGGCUUGAAUUACCAGGAAGUAACUAGAAUAUGUAGUGUAGCGGUGAAAUGCUUAGAGAUUACAUGGAAUACCAAUUGCGAAGGCAGGUUACUACUGGUGGAUUGACGCUGAUGGACGAAAGCGUGGGUAGCGAACAGG